GAUCAUGGCUCAGGACGAACGCUGGCGGCGCGCCUAACACAUGCAAGUCGAACGGGGUUAUACGGGAUGAAGUUUUCGGAUGGAAUUCUAUAUAACCUAGUGGCGGACGGGUGAGUAACACGUGAGCAACCUGCCUAUCAGAGGGGGAUAACGAUUGGAAACGAUCGCUAAUACCGCAUGACAUUGCGAAGAGGCAUCUUUUUGCUAUCAAAGAUUUAUCGCUGAUAGAUGGGCUCG
This 237-nucleotide ribosomal RNA is filed under the name uncultured bacterium. RNAcentral's name for it is "partial 16S ribosomal RNA". It matches the Rfam family "Bacterial small subunit ribosomal RNA", at positions 15 to 233 of the family's 1533-position model. The record is from RNAcentral.